Molecule: ribosomal RNA, 253 nt
Filed under: uncultured bacterium
Lineage: Bacteria
Description: partial 16S ribosomal RNA
Rfam family: Bacterial small subunit ribosomal RNA
Source: RNAcentral
GACGGAGGAUGCAAGCGUUAUCCCGAAUGAUUGGGCGUAAAGCGUCCGCAGGUGGCAGUUCAAGUCUGCUGUCAAAGACCGGGGCUUAACUUCGGAAAGGCAGUGGAAACUGAACAGCUAGAGUAUGGUAGGGGCAGAGGGAAUUCCUGGUGUAGCGGUGAAAUGCGUAGAUAUCAGGAAGAACAUCGGUGGCGAAGGCGCUCUGCUGGACCAUAACUGACACUCAGGGACGAAAGCUAGGGGAGCGAAUGGG